This 440-nucleotide long non-coding RNA is filed under the name Bos grunniens (domestic yak). Its description in RNAcentral is "lncRNA (ENSBGRG00000011951.1)". Lineage: Eukaryota; Metazoa; Chordata; Mammalia; Artiodactyla; Bovidae. The record is from RNAcentral.
GCUUAGAUGGCGAUGUGCACAUUGGAUCAUAUUCCUGGCUUCCUGUCUGGUAUGAAUUGAAAGACACGUAGAACUAUUACACUUUGUUCCCGCAAACAGUUGUGAUUGAAUGUCAUAUAAUUCCAGAGGCGAUGGGAGCUUCCUUCGGUGUUGAUACGGUAAACUCCCCCCAGGCAGGGCGAUUCCAGGCAGACAUAGUGCUGGGGCUGCCGCUACCAUUGCGAAUCUUCACGUUCCUAUCCAACUACAUCCUCACAAGCAGAUCUGUUCUUUUUACUGGAGAGGACCUGCUGUGCUCCAUUUGAUCACAGUCCUGACCCAUUUUGGAGGUCCUAUGAACUGGCACCUGCUAUCACUGAUGAACAUAGAUGUAAAAAUCCUUAAUAUAAUUCUAGCAAACAGAGUCCAACAACAUAUUUAAAAGCUCAUACAUCAUGACC